UUAAUUGAAACCAAAAAGAGGUAUAUCACUGUUAAUGAUAAAACUGAGAGACUCUCCAAUUAAG
Molecule: transfer RNA, 64 nt
Filed under: Tetraserica leishanica
Lineage: Eukaryota; Metazoa; Arthropoda; Insecta; Coleoptera; Scarabaeidae
Description: tRNA-Asn
Source: RNAcentral